Molecule: ribosomal RNA, 1809 nt
Filed under: Triticum aestivum (bread wheat)
Lineage: Eukaryota; Viridiplantae; Streptophyta; Magnoliopsida; Poales; Poaceae
Description: partial small subunit ribosomal RNA
Source: RNAcentral
AUGGAGGACCUACCAGAGGCUCUGGUGACAGAGAUUGUCAAGAGGAUCACCAGGACAAGUGAUCUCAAUUGUCUUUCCCUCGUGUCAAAGCAGCUCUACAAGAUAGAGGGGAAUCAAAGGGGUGCUAUCCGUGUUGGUUCCGGUCUUUGCACUGCUACAGAAGCAGUGACAUCAUUGUGCGCCCGGUUCCCAAAUCUGCAGAAAGUGGAAAUCGAUUACUCUGGUUGGAUACCUGGACAUGGAAAGCAGCUGGACAACAAAGGCCUUUCUGUGUUUUCAUCUCACUGUUCCUCGCUGGUUGACCUCACCUUAAGCUUCUGCUCAUGCAUCGAUGACUCUGGACUUGCUUGUUUAGCGAAUUGCAAGAAAUUGGUGUCUCUCAGGCUCAACUCCACACCACAAAUAACUUCGAUUGGGCUUUUCUCAGUUGCAGUUGGUUGCACAAGUCUAUCUGCCCUCCACCUUAUUGAUUGCGAGGAAAUCGACAAUGUAGAGUGGCUGGAAUACCUUGGUAGGGAUGGACCAUUGUACGCCCGCUUCCCAAAUCUGCGGAAAUUGGAAAUUGAUUACACUGGUUGGAUUCCUGGACAUGGAAAGCAGCUGGACAACAAAGGCCUUUCUGUGUUUUCAUCUCACUGUUCCUUGCUGGUUGACCUCACCUUAAGCUUCUGUUCAUGCAUCGAUGACUCUGGGCUUGCUUGUUUGGCUUAUUGCAAAACAUUGGUGUCUCUCAGGCUCAACUCCGCACCAAAAAUAACGUCAGUUGGGCUUUUCUCGGUUGCAGUUGGCUGCACAAGUCUAUCUGCUCUCCACCUUAUUGGUUGCGAGAAAAUUGACAGUGUAGAGUGGCUGGAAUACCUUGGUAGGGAUGGACCAUUGGAAGAGCUUGUAGUGAAGAAUUGCAAAGGAAUCAAUCAUCAUGACUUCCUAAAGUUUGGUUCAGGAUGGAUGAAGCUCCAGAAGUUUGAGUUUGAGGGCAAAAGAGGAAGAUAUGAUAGUCUUACAGAUGAUGUGGUCUAUGACUCCUCGUACGAUGCUCACAGCAUGGAUUUGUAUGAUUUCUACUGUGAGAGUUUGAAGGAUUUAAGGUUGGCACGUAUUAAAACUUGGCCGGAAGUAGGACUUCGUGUUGUCCUAGGGAAAUGUAAAGCAUUGGAGAAGCUUUGCCUUGAGUAUGUUUGUGCCUUAAAUGACAAUGACAUGAUUGCAUUAUCUCAGAGCUGCAGCAACCUUAAAAGCAUCUCACUUUGGCUCAACCUGCAGCACUACUCUAGUGAUGUCAGCUAUUGUGAAACCAGGACAUCAUUUACUGAUAACAGUCUUUACGCUCUAGCCCUAAACUGUCGUAUGCUUCAGAUGGUGGACCUCAGCUUUACAGGAUGUGCUGCUGACUGGCCAUCAGAAAUAGGAUUCACACAAGAGGGUUUUCUGGUGCUCAUUCAGUCUUGCCCAAUUCGUGUCCUCGUGCUCAACAACGCCAACUUCUUUGAUGACGAGGGGAUGAAGGCCCUCUCAUCCUCACCUCAUCUGGAGACACUCGAGCUUAUAUUGUGUCGUGCGGUAACUGAUGUUGGGAUGCGCUUCAUUGCGCACACCCCAUGCUUGAGUAAUCUCACACUUCGGAUGUGUCCUAACGUCACUGAUGUGGGAGUGGCUGAACUGGAACAUGCACAGAAGUUAGAGUCUUUGGUCGUCGAGUCUUGUGGUGAGGUCUCUCUGCAAGCUGCGCAUUGUGUUGCCAAGUCAGUUCAGUACUCCAGCGAGUGUUCAAAUGUCCUUAUGAAGAAAAUUGGUCUUGGCAGCUAUUGA